RNAcentral lists this ribosomal RNA (492 nucleotides) under uncultured bacterium. RNAcentral's name for it is "partial 16S ribosomal RNA". It matches the Rfam family "Bacterial small subunit ribosomal RNA", at positions 29 to 507 of the family's 1533-position model. The record is from RNAcentral.
AGUGAACGCUGGCGGUAUGCCUAACACAUGCAAGUCGAACGGCAGCACAGUAAGAUCUUGCUCUUACGGGUGGCGAGUGGCGGACGGGUGAGGAAUACAUCGGAAUCUACUUUUUCGUGGGGGAUAACGUAGGGAAACUUACGCUAAUACCGCAUACGACCUACGGGUGAAAGCAUGGGAUCUUCGGACCUUGCGCGAUUGAAUUAGCCGAUGUCGGAUUAGCUAGUUGGCGGGGUAAAGGCCCACCAAGGCGACGAUCCGUAGCUGGUCUGAGAGGAUGAUCAGCCACACUGGAACUGAGACACGGUCCAGACUCCUACGGGAGGCAGCAGUGGGGAAUAUUGGACAAUGGGCGAAAGCCUGAUCCAGCCAUACCGCGUGGGUGAAGAAGGCCUUCGGGUUGUAAAGCCCUUUUGUUGGGAAAGAAAAGCAGCAGGUUAAUACCCCGCUGUUCUGACGGUACCCAAAGAAUAAGCACCGGCUAACUUCGUG